GACGAACGCUGGCGGCGUGCUUAACACAUGCAAGUCGAACGGAAAGGCCCUGCUUGCAGGGUACUCGAGUGGCGAACGGGUGAGUAACACGUGGGUGAUCUGCCCUGCACUUCGGGAUAAGCCUGGGAAACUGGGUCUAAUACCGGAUAGGAGCCAUUUUUAGUGUGAUGGUUGGAAAGUUUUUUCGGUGUAGGAUGGGCUCGCGGCCUAUCAGCUUGUUGGUGGGGUAAUGGCCUACCAAGGCGGCGACGGGCAGCCGGCCUGAGAGGGUGGACGGCCACAUUGGGACUGAGAUACGGCCCAGACUCCUACGGGAGGCAGCAGUGGGGAAUAUUGCACAAUGGGCGCAAGCCUGAUGCAGCGACGCCGCGUGGGGGAUGACGGCCUUCGGGUUGUAAACUCCUUUCGCUAGGGACGAAGCUUUUUGUGACGGUACCUAGAUAAGAAGCACCGGCUAACUACGUG
This 465-nucleotide ribosomal RNA is filed under the name uncultured bacterium. RNAcentral describes it as "partial 16S ribosomal RNA". It matches the Rfam family "Bacterial small subunit ribosomal RNA", at positions 28 to 507 of the family's 1533-position model. The record is from RNAcentral.